Molecule: small nuclear RNA, 107 nt
Organism: Rhinolophus ferrumequinum (greater horseshoe bat)
Lineage: Eukaryota; Metazoa; Chordata; Mammalia; Chiroptera; Rhinolophidae
Source: Ensembl
GUGUUCACUUCAGCAGUUCAUACACCAAAAGUGGAACAAUACAGAAAAGAUUAGCAUGGCCCCUGCACAAAGAUGACACGCAAAUUCAUGAAGCAGUCCAUAUUUUU